CGCGUAGGCGGACCUUCAAGUCGGGUGUGAAAACCGGCGGCUUAACUGCCGGCCUGCAUUCGAUACUGUUGGUCUUGAGUACAUGAGAGGAAAGCGGAAUUCCAGGUGUAGCGGUGAAAUGCGUAGAUAUCUGGAAGAACACCAGUAGCGAAGGCGGCUUUCUGGCGUGAUACUGACGCUCAAGCGCGAAGGCUAGGGGAGCAAACGA
RNAcentral lists this ribosomal RNA (208 nucleotides) under uncultured bacterium. RNAcentral's name for it is "partial 16S ribosomal RNA". It matches the Rfam family "Bacterial small subunit ribosomal RNA", at positions 568 to 775 of the family's 1533-position model. The record is from RNAcentral.